AGACAACUUCUUACUUUGUUGCCCAGGCUGAAGUGCAGUGAUGCGAUCACGGCUCACUGCAGCCUCGACCUCCCAGGCUCAAGCGAUCCUCCCACCUCAACAUCCCAAGUAGCUGGGACUCCAAACGCGUGCCACUAUGCCCGGCUAAGUUUUGUAUUUUUAGUAGAGAUGGAGUUUUGCCAUGUUGCCCCGGCUGGUCUCGGACUCCUGGGCUCAAGCAAUCUGCCUGCCUCUGUCUCCUGAAGUGUUGUGAUUACAGGCAUGAGCCACCGCACCUGGCCAAGAUGCUUUUUCUGUUUCUGAGAUACAAUGAACUAUAUCUUAAGAAUUCAUAAAGCCCUAAAAAGUAAAUAUUUACAACCAGAAAUCUUUCUGACAAAGAAACAAGAUUACUCAAAUGCUUGUCAAGAUGGUUCUGGAAACUGAAUAAAUUGUUAUUAACUAAAUUCUAAAAGCUUCAUAUAAUCAUCUGAUACAUACAUCACAUCAAUUUCAGCCUAGGCUCUCUAUGGUGGCAAAUUAUUUCAGCACUAAAUCAUGAAGGCUGGAUUCUUGAAGCCUGGCAGAGGCAAAUGUCUCAUUAAUGCUGAUCUGAGAGACAUCUGUGAUGAGCCUGAACAUCAGGCCAAUCUGCAGAGCUGAUCAGGGGCUGCUGAGUGGUUCUGAAGUGAGUCAGGCUGUGAAUGAAGACUCCACCAGAAUGAGGAGAAUUCCAUGCAUGGAGAUUCAAAUAAAGACAAAAGGGAGAUGCAACUAUGGAGGCUGAGAAGUCCCACCAUCGGAGCGCCUCUGCCCCGCCGCCCCAUCUGGGAUGUGAGGAGCGCCUCUGCCCGGCCGAGACCCCGUCUGGGAGGUGAGGAGCGUCUCUGCCCGGCCGCCCCGUCUGAGAAGUGAGGAGACCCUCUGCCUGGCAACCACCCCGUCUGAGAAGUGAGGAGCCCCUCCGCCCGGCAGCUGCCCCGUCUGAGAAGUGAGGAGCCUCUCCGCCCGGCAGCCACCCCAUCUGGGAAGUGAGGAGCGUCUCCGCCCGGCAGCCACCCCGUCCGGGAGGGAGGUGGGGGGGGGUCAGCCCCCCGCCCGGCCAGCCGCCCCAUCCGGGAGGGAGGUGGGGGGUCAGCCCCCCCGCCCGGCCAGCCGUGCCAUCCGGGAGGGAGGUGGGGGGGUCAGCCCCCCGCCUGGCCAGCCGUGCCGUCCGGGAGGGAGGUGGGGGGGUCAGCCCCCCGUCCGGCCAGCCGCCCCGUCCGGGAGGUGAGGGGCGCCUCUGCCCGGCCGCCCCUACUGGGAAGUGAGGAGCCCCUCAGCCCGGCCAGCCACCCCGUCCGGGAGGGAGAUGGGGGGGUCAGCCCCCCCACCCGGCCAGCCGCCCCGUCCGGGAGGGAGGUAGGGGGGUCAGCCCCCCGCCUGGCCAGCCGCCCCGUCCGGGAGGGAGGUGGGGGGGUCAGCCCUCCGCCCGGCCAGCCGCCCCGUCUGGGAGGUGAGGGGCGCCUCUGCCCAGCCGCCCCUACUGGGAAGUGAGG
This 1517-nucleotide long non-coding RNA is filed under the name Homo sapiens (human). Its description in RNAcentral is "HSALNT0210308". The record is from RNAcentral. Lineage: Eukaryota; Metazoa; Chordata; Mammalia; Primates; Hominidae.